This 301-nucleotide ribosomal RNA is filed under the name uncultured bacterium. RNAcentral describes it as "partial 16S ribosomal RNA". It matches the Rfam family "Bacterial small subunit ribosomal RNA", at positions 509 to 807 of the family's 1533-position model. The record is from RNAcentral.
CAGUCGCCACGGUAAUACGGAGGGUGCAAGCGUUAAUCGGAAUUACUGGGCGUAAAGCGCACGCAGGCGGUCUGACAAGUCAGAUGUGAAAUCCCCGGGCUUAACCUGGGAACUGCAUUUGAAACUGUCAGACUGGAGUCUUGUAGAGGGGGGUAGAAUUCCAGGUGUAGCGGUGAAAUGCGUAGAGAUCUGGAGGAAUACCGGUGGCGAAGGCGGCCCCCUGGACAAAGACUGACGCUCAGGUGCGAAAGCGUGGGGAGCAAACAGGAUUAGAGACCCCUGUAGUCCCUGUCUCUUAUAC